Molecule: long non-coding RNA, 263 nt
Organism: Pipistrellus kuhlii (Kuhl's pipistrelle)
Lineage: Eukaryota; Metazoa; Chordata; Mammalia; Chiroptera; Vespertilionidae
Exons: 2
Source: RefSeq, a predicted model, not a curated record
CCCCGGAAGGAGCCUGGAUCCCAGUGCCCAUGGGCCAAUGGAGGCUCUCCCUGAGCCUGUGGUCUGGCAGCUGGGAUGAAGGUAGAGGCCCAGGCUGAGGUCAGGUGGGUGGAUGGUGCCAGAGGCCCAGGCUGAGGACAGGUGGGUGGGUGGUACCGGCCAUGGAUGGAGAGGCAGGUGAGCAGAUAGCUUCUAAGGAAUGCCUUGGGUUCUUCGGGAGUGGACCUGCCACCCCAGAAGCCACCUGGCAACACGAAAUCUCC